AGUGAACGCUGGCGGUAGGCCUAACACAUGCAAGUCGAACGGCAGCACAGUAAGAGCUUGCUCUUACGGGUGGCGAGUGGCGGACGGGUGAGGAAUACAUCGGAAUCUACUUUUUCGUGGGGGAUAACGUAGGGAAACUUACGCUAAUACCGCAUACGACCUACGGGUGAAAGCAGGGGAUCUUCGGACCUUGCGCGAUUGAAUGAGCCGAUGUCGGAUUAGCUAGUUGGCGGGGCAAAGGCCCACCAAGGCGACGAUCCGUAGCUGGUCUGAGAGGAUGAUCAGCCACACUGGAACUGAGACACGGUCCAGACUCCUACGGGAGGCAGCAGUGGGGAAUAUUGGACAAUGGGCGCAAGCCUGAUCCAGCCAUACCGCGUGGGCGAAGAAGGCCUUCGGGUUGUAAAGCCCUUUUGUUGGGAAAGAAAAGCAGCAGGUUAAUACCCCGCUGUUCUGACGGUACCCAAAGAAUAAGCACCGGCUAACUUCGUG
This 492-nucleotide ribosomal RNA is filed under the name uncultured bacterium. RNAcentral's name for it is "partial 16S ribosomal RNA". It matches the Rfam family "Bacterial small subunit ribosomal RNA", at positions 29 to 507 of the family's 1533-position model. The record is from RNAcentral.